UACGUAGGGGGCAAGCGUUGUCCGGAAUCAUUGGGCGUAAAGAGCGCGUAGGCGGCCCGGUAAGUCCGCUGUAAAAGUCCAGGGCUCAACCCUGGAAAGCCGGUGGAUACUGUCGGGCUCGAGUCCGGAAGAGGCGAGUGGAAUUCCUGGUGUAGCGGUGGAAUGCGCAGAUAUCAGGAGGAACACCAAUGGCGAAGGCAGCUCGCUGGGACGGUACUGACGCUGAGGCGCGAAAGCGUGGGAAGCAAACAGG
This 253-nucleotide ribosomal RNA is filed under the name uncultured bacterium. RNAcentral's name for it is "partial 16S ribosomal RNA". It matches the Rfam family "Bacterial small subunit ribosomal RNA", at positions 524 to 776 of the family's 1533-position model. The record is from RNAcentral.